RNAcentral lists this ribosomal RNA (440 nucleotides) under uncultured bacterium. RNAcentral's name for it is "partial 16S ribosomal RNA". It matches the Rfam family "Bacterial small subunit ribosomal RNA", at positions 338 to 795 of the family's 1533-position model. The record is from RNAcentral.
CCUACGGGAGGCAGCAGUGGGGAAUAUUGCACAAUGGGGGAAACCCUGAUGCAGCGACGCCGCGUGAGUGAAGAAGUAUUUCGGUAUGUAAAGCUCUAUCAGCAGGGAAGAAAAUGACGGUACCUGACUAAGAAGCCCCGGCUAACUACGUGCCAGCAGCCGCGGUAAUACGUAGGGGGCAAGCGUUAUCCGGAUUUACUGGGUGUAAAGGGGGCGUAGACGGCAGGGCAAGCCAGAAGUGAAAUGCCGGGGCUCAACCGCGGAACUGCUUUUGAAACUGUGUAGCUGGAGUGCAGGAGAGGUAAGUGGAAUUCCUAGUGUAGCGGUGAAAUGCGUAGAUAUUAGGAGGAACACCAGUGGCGAAGGCGGCUUACUGGACUGUAAAUGACGGUGAGGCUCGAAAGCGUGGGGAGCAAACAGGAUUAGAUACCCGGGUAGUC